This is a small nucleolar RNA of Apodemus sylvaticus (European woodmouse), 144 nucleotides long. RefSeq annotates it as small nucleolar RNA SNORA48. NCBI's taxonomy places the organism in Eukaryota, Metazoa, Chordata, Mammalia, Rodentia, Muridae. The record is from RefSeq and is a predicted model, not a curated record. The transcript has a single exon.
ACCCUCUGGCAAUGGGCAAAGAGACACCUUGUUGGUGGAAGUGUUCUUUUAUCAGUCAGGGGCAGAACAGAUAGCAGUCCUUUAUUCAUCCUAGCAUGAUGCCUGGCUUGGUGGCCAAAGUUGUUUUAUGACUAGGACUCAUAA